CGGACUGUAGGCUGCAACUCGCCUACACGAAGUCGGAAUCGCUAGUAAUCGCGGAUCAGUAUGCCGCGGUGAAUACGUUCCCGGGCCUUGUACACACCGCCCGUCACACCAUGGGAGUUUGUAACGCCCAAAGUCGGUGGCCUAACCUUUAUGGAGGGAGCCGCCUAAGGCGGGACAGAUGACUGGGGUGAAGUCGUAACAAGGUAAC
RNAcentral lists this ribosomal RNA (208 nucleotides) under uncultured bacterium. RNAcentral's name for it is "partial 16S ribosomal RNA". It matches the Rfam family "Bacterial small subunit ribosomal RNA", at positions 1294 to 1500 of the family's 1533-position model. The record is from RNAcentral.